Pogoniulus pusillus (Red-fronted tinkerbird) is the source of this 78-nucleotide small nucleolar RNA. RefSeq annotates it as small nucleolar RNA SNORD69. NCBI's taxonomy places the organism in Eukaryota, Metazoa, Chordata, Aves, Piciformes, Lybiidae. The transcript has a single exon. The record is from RefSeq and is a predicted model, not a curated record.
UACACAAAGCAUAUGAUGAAGAAGCAUUGAAACUGACUCUCUGUGAAGUCUAUUCAAUCCAACCCUGAGCUUUGUGCU